GGAUCCAGACUUUGAUUCUGGCUCAGGAUGAACGCUAGCUACAGGCUUAACACAUGCAAGUCGAGGGGCAGCGGGAUUGAAGCUUGCUUCAAUUGCCGGCGACCGGCGCACGGGUGAGUAACGCGUAUCCAACCUUCCGUACACUCAGGGAUAGCCUUUCGAAAGAAAGAUUAAUACCUGAUAGUAUCUUAAGCACACAUGUAAUUAAGAUUAAAGAUUUAUCGGUGUACGAUGGGGAUGCGUUCCAUUAGGUAGUAGGCGGGGUAACGGCCCACCUAGCCAACGAUGGAUAGGGGUUCUGAGAGGAAGGUCCCCCACAUUGGAACUGAGACACGGUCCAAACUCCUACGGGAGGCAGCAGUGAGGAAUAUUGGUCAAUGGACGAGAGUCUGAACCAGCCAAGUAGCGUGAAGGAUGAAGGUCCUACGGAUUGUAAACUUCUUUUAUAAGGGAAUAAACCCUCCCACGUGUGGGAGCUUGUAUGUACCUUAUGAAUAAGCAUCGGCUAACUCCGUGCCAGCAGCCGCGGUAAUACGGAGGAUGCGAGCGUUAUCCGGAUUUAUUGGGUUUAAAGGGAGCGCAGACGGGUCGUUAAGUCAGCUGUGAAAGUUUGGGGCUCAACCUUAAAAUUGCAGUUGAUACUGGCGUCCUUGAGUGCGGUUGAGGUGUGCGGAAUUCGUGGUGUAGCGGUGAAAUGCUUAGAUAUCACGAAGAACUCCGAUUGCGAAGGCAGCACACUAAUCCGUAACUGACGUUCAUGCUCGAAAGUGUGGGUAUCAAACAGGAUUAGAUACCCUGGUAGUCCACACGGUAAACGAUGGAUACUCGCUGUUGGCGAUAUACUGUCAGCGGCUUAGCGAAAGCGUUAAGUAUCCCACCUGGGGAGUACGCCGGCAACGGUGCAACUCAAAUGAAUUGACGG
RNAcentral lists this ribosomal RNA (922 nucleotides) under uncultured Bacteroidota bacterium. Its description in RNAcentral is "bacterial SSU rRNA". It matches the Rfam family "Bacterial small subunit ribosomal RNA", at positions 1 to 916 of the family's 1533-position model. Lineage: Bacteria; Pseudomonadati; Bacteroidota. The record is from RNAcentral.